This 74-nucleotide microRNA precursor is filed under the name Myotis davidii. RNAcentral's name for it is "mir-9193 microRNA precursor family". It matches the Rfam family "mir-9193 microRNA precursor family". The record is from Rfam by way of RNAcentral. Lineage: Eukaryota; Metazoa; Chordata; Mammalia; Chiroptera; Vespertilionidae.
GUCGGAGUGCGGGGGUCCCUCAGCCCAGAUUGUGACAGGGCGCAGGUCAGGUCGAGGGAACCCACCAGUGCACC